RNAcentral lists this non-coding RNA (28 nucleotides) under Cricetulus griseus (Chinese hamster). Lineage: Eukaryota; Metazoa; Chordata; Mammalia; Rodentia; Cricetidae. The record is from RNAcentral.
UUGUGGACCUUGUAGAGAAGGUGAGCAG